CUACGGGAGGCUCCAGUGGGGAAUAUUGGACAAUGGGGGAAACCCUGAUCCAGCAAUGCCGCGUGUGUGAAGAAGGCCUGCGGGUUGUAAAGCACUUUCGGUUGGGAGGACUGCUUCUAGCACUAAUAUUGUUGGAAGUUGACGUUACCUUCAGAAGAAGCACCGGCUAACUCCGUGCCAGCAGCCGUCGGUAAUACGGAUGGUGCAAGCGUUAAUCGGAAUUACUGGGCGUAAAGCGCGCGUAGGCGGCUAGAUCAGUCGGGUGUGAAAGCCCCGGGCUUAACCUGGGAACUGCAUCCGAUACUGUCUAGCUUGAGUACAGGAGAGGAGAGUGGAAUUCCACAUGUAGCGGUGAAAUGCGUAGAUAUGUGGAGGAACACCAAUGGCGAAGGCAGCUCUCUGGCCUGAUACUGACGCUGAGGUGCGAAAGCGUGGGGAGCAAACAGGAUUAGAUACCCUCGUAGUC
This 466-nucleotide ribosomal RNA is filed under the name uncultured bacterium. RNAcentral describes it as "partial 16S ribosomal RNA". It matches the Rfam family "Bacterial small subunit ribosomal RNA", at positions 339 to 795 of the family's 1533-position model. The record is from RNAcentral.